RNAcentral lists this ribosomal RNA (501 nucleotides) under uncultured bacterium. RNAcentral describes it as "partial 16S ribosomal RNA". It matches the Rfam family "Bacterial small subunit ribosomal RNA", at positions 30 to 523 of the family's 1533-position model. The record is from RNAcentral.
AUUGAACGCUGGCGGCAGGCUUAACACAUGCAAGUCGAGCGGAGAUGAGGUGCUUGCACCUUAUCUUAGCGGCGGACGGGUGAGUAAUGCUUAGGAAUCUGCCUAUUAGUGGGGGACAACAUUCCGAAAGGAAUGCUAAUACCGCAUACGUCCUACGGGAGAAAGCAGGGGAUCUUCGGACCUUGCGCUAAUAGAUGAGCCAAAGUCGGAUUAGCUAGUUGGUGGGGUAAAGGCCUACCAAGGCGACGAUCUGUAGCGGGUCUGAGAGGAUGAUCCGCCACACUGGGACUGAGACACGGCCCAGACUCCUACGGGAGGCAGCAGUGGGGAAUAUUGGACAAUGGGGGGAACCCUGAUCCAGCCAUGCCGCGUGUGUGAAGAAGGCCUUAUGGUUGUAAAGCACUUUAAGCGAGGAGGAGGCUACUGAGACUAAUACUCUUGGAUAGUGGACGUUACUCGCAGAGUAAGCACCGGCUAACUCUGUGCCAGCCGCCGCCGUAA